RNAcentral lists this long non-coding RNA (305 nucleotides) under Callithrix jacchus (white-tufted-ear marmoset). RNAcentral's name for it is "lncRNA (ENSCJAG00000079426.1)". The record is from RNAcentral. Lineage: Eukaryota; Metazoa; Chordata; Mammalia; Primates; Cebidae.
AUUCAUAUGAGGAAAAUUUUUACAUGAAAUGUAGUAAUGCCAUAUUACUAAAUGCUGAGAACUAUGAUUGAAAAUGAAGAAAACAAUAAUAAUUAAGAAAAAAAUGAAAAUGGGAGGAAAACAGAGGCACAGAGAGUUGACAUCCUGCCCAAGGUCACAGAUCUAAUUCUAGAAGAGCAGGAAAAGCUGGUUUAUCAAGUCUUGUCAUCAUUAUAAAACUACAGAGGUAAGUUUGAAAAAUAUUGGUUCUAUUACUCUGUUGAUGUUUGGUGACCAAUGAGCAAGAUAAAUCUUUUCAAUGUGAG